Molecule: ribosomal RNA, 492 nt
Filed under: uncultured bacterium
Lineage: Bacteria
Description: partial 16S ribosomal RNA
Rfam family: Bacterial small subunit ribosomal RNA
Source: RNAcentral
AGUGAACGCUGGCGGUAGGCCUAACACAUGCAAGUCGAACGGCAGCACAGUAAGAGCUUGCUCUUACGGGUGGCGAGUGGCGGACGGGUGAGGAAUACAUCGGAAUCUACUUUUUCGUGGGGGAUAACGUAGGGAAACUUACGCUAAUACCGCAUACGACCUACGGGUGAAAGCAGGGGAUCUUCGGACCUUUCGCGAUUGAAUGAGCCGAUGUCGGAUUAGCUAGUUGGCGGGGUAAAGGCCCACCAAGGCGACGAUCCGUAGCUGGUCUGAGAGGAUGAUCAGCCACACUGGAACUGAGACACGGUCCAGACUACUACGGGAGGCAGCAGUGGGGAAUAUUGGACAAAGGGCGCAAGCCUGAUCCAGCCAUACCGCGUGGGUGAAGAAGGCCUUCGGGUUGUAAAGCCCUUUUGUUGGGAAAGAAAAGCAGCAGGUUAAUACCCCGCUGUUCUGACGGUACCCAAAGAAUAAGCACCGGCUAACUUCGUG